Molecule: RNA transcript, 2486 nt
Organism: Synchiropus splendidus (mandarinfish)
Lineage: Eukaryota; Metazoa; Chordata; Actinopteri; Syngnathiformes; Callionymidae
Exons: 5
Source: RefSeq, a predicted model, not a curated record
UUUUAUGUCGCACCACCCAGCGCGGGAACUCCGUCGUGCAGAUAAAGUUUUUCCUCAGGAUUCCACCGAAGAAACGUCAAGAACAGCGACGGUGUCAUGUCUUGCUGGAGGAAAGACACACCUGGGUCGUCGAGGUCCGUCGACAGGCUCGGUGACGUGUCGAAGGCUGCGAUAUUGAGACAAAUAGUCACCGAGAAACUGAGCUCAGGAGCCCAGGAGAUACUGGCGGUGGUGGAGCGAACCAUAGUCGGCUACGAGGAGGACGCUCUGGGCUACAGACGAGAACUGGAGAGACAGAAGAGGCUGCUGGAGUGUCUGCUGCAGCCUCGGGUCAAGCUGGAGCGAAACGGUUUGUACAGCCGUGUGAGUGGAGUGAAGUAGCAUAGUUCACAGCCAAGGUGGAGUUGCCCAUGUUUGGGGUAGUUGUAGUUUGUUUCACCGUGCGAGUUUGUUUGCAGAGCUUCGUGCAGCGGCGGCUCGAGGGGGGUCAGCAGGGCCACGCACAACCGCUGGAAUUUCUCUGUUUCCCGGGAGAAAGCCUCUCUGCGUAUGUUCAGGAGGAAGACCUGGGUUUCAUCUGGUAUGGAGAUGAUUCCUCACCGUUUGAUGAAGACACCCUGGCACCUGAAAAUUUGAGCGCGAGACAGAAACAAGAAGACCCGAAGGAUCCAGAUUUUGAAAUCUCAGAAAGUUGCAGGACUUCGACCCCAAAAGUUCCGUCUGAGAGAAGAGUGACCAAACCUUGGUUCAGGGAAGAGAAAGACCAUAUCUUCCUGAGGGUCCGUGUCCUGGACGACACUUUGACUGCUUUACCGAAAAACGACCCGAUGCAGCUGUGGUGCCCAACUGGCCUGCAAGAGAUGGACUUCCUGCGGAUGCUGCACUCCACCAUCCCUCAGCUGACUGACAACCAGGCAUGUACAUGUACAUAGCAGACCGCAACAGAAACAAGAGAGUGACCUCCAUGAUCCCGGAGGAAAUCAAAAGGAGCAUGUCCUCGGUGAACAACCCGACACUCUACAUUCGUCUCAAGUGAGCGAGAGCGGCCCUUCCUGUGCCACAUCUGCCCCAAGGCCUUCAUGGAAAACUGCAGCCUGAAAUCCCACCUGAAGAUCCACAGCGAGGAGCGGCCGUUCACCUGCCCGGUCUGCAGCCGAGGCUUCAUCUCUCUCGCUUCAGCUGCUCAGUGUGCGGGAUGGGCUUCAAACGCAAGGGGAACCUCAACGCGCACAUGGGGAUACACACGAAGGACCGGCGCUUUGUGUGCGGCAUGAAAAUGCACCUCACCAUUCACAUGAGGACACACAACGCAGAGCGGCCGUACAAAUGCAAGCUGUGCCACAAAACCUUCACACAGAGUCACUGCCUGAAGAUGCACAGUGUUGCUCCGGUCGCCGUCGACUCUGGAAACCCUUCGUCACAUGGACAGGGCUCGUCUGUGUGAAGGUCUCUGCACCUCCCACAUACACAACACUCAAGCCUGAGCCAAUGAACCAAUCAGAAGCGAGGUUUAAACUGGACUUGUGAUCUUCAAUUGGAAGUGAGUCGUGACUGCUGAUCCCUGCUUUUAGUUGUUAGGCCGAGUGAAAGAUGUGCAGCAUCCUGUCAACGGGGUGCGCAGUGUGUUUCAUGAACCAUCACGUUUGGUCAUAAGAGCCCUUCAUGAGAACACUUGGACCAAAGUUUAGGUGAGUAACACUCCAGCUGUUGAGAUUAUGUUACACACUGAGAAAAUGCUUGAGAUUGUUUUAGUGUUUCCCCAAUUGUUGUCUUCUUUUUGGUUUUUUUUCUGACAACCGGUGACACUGGUGAAGUCCUGCAGUUGAUAUGUAGAAACAGAAGAGCUUUUUUUUGCAGAUCUUGAGCGCCCCCUGUAGGUCGCACACAGAUCGCAGGUUGAAUGUAUUCAAGACACCCAAAUCACCAUGGACUCAGGCUUUCUAUCGCUCACACAGCAGAACCUCACUUCGAAAAUUUGUUUUGUUUGAAUUUUUUUGUUGUUGUAUGAGCCACUAAAUGGUCUUAACUUAGGGCACAAAACACUUUCACUACUGUGGGCUUCGUCUUAGAGCGCUUCCCAGAACAGAAGUGCACAUUUAAGCACACGGACCUCAAGUGGUCUUUUGCUGGUAGGUUAGAUUCUGUUGGAAUUAAAGUACACACUGUAACAUUUCACUCUUCACUUCUCCUUCUUGGCUUCACAUCGAAGUCUUCCCCCAGCCAACUCCAAAAAGCGUUUUCAUUCACAGUGUCUGAUCGUAUUUUUAAAAACUUGGAGACAAAAGUCCGUCAGCACAGCUUUCUUGCCUUCUUGUGGUCACAUGGUAAUAAAUAAUUCCACAGUCAAAAUCCAAAAUAACCUUUCAAGUACGAAGAUGGAGUUUCAGAGAAUAAAUAGCUUUGUGUUGUGCUGGAAUCCUUCAAGGCAGCUCCAGCAUCCCAUGCUCCUCCAGGACUCUCUGGGUUCUGGCGUGCACCAGCGUCAG